GUUAGAGUCAAGGGUCUUGUGAUUCUCGGUACCUCAUCGUGAUCAGCUCAAGUCAAACCGAACUGCUCUGGACACUCAUCGCUGACAUCGCUCUCCUCUUCCCUUCUGAGUUCUGUCUCUGUAUAUUCAAUUCAAAAUGCGAAGAAGACCCAACAAUUCUUCUUCCAAAUCGGAACCAUCGACCAGUCAAGAACCCAUCGGAGUUGAUGCCACUGGAACCGCCAAUGUUGUGGAAGAUGCCGGUUUGAUUAGUGGAAAGACGAGAAGGUCAGGAUUUGUAUGGCUGAUAUUGUUUGGGGUGAUCAUAUACUCUUCAUGGGCUGUUUACUAUUACCAGUUCGAGAGUUUGCCUUUGCCUCUCACCGCUGAGCAGGCCGGCAAGAGGGGUUUUUCUGAGGUGGAGGCUAUGAAACAUGUCCAAGCCUUGACUCAAUUGGGCCCUCACCCUGUUGGGUCUGAUGCUAUUGACCUUGCUUUGCAGUAUGUUUUGGCAGCAGCAGAAAAUAUUAAGAAAACAGCCCAUUGGGAGGUUGAUGUUCAAGUGGAGCUUUUCCAUGCAAAAACUGGCGCAAAUCGUCUGGUCAGUGGCCUCUUUAAGGGGAAAACACUUGUUUAUUCAGAUCUGAACCACAUCAUUCUAAGAAUCUUGCCAAAAUAUGCAUCUGAGGCAGAAGAAAAUGCUAUUCUCGUCUCUUCUCACAUUGAUACUGUAUUCUCAACGGAAGGUGCUGGAGAUUGCAGUUCUUGUGUGGGUGUUAUGUUGGAACUUGCUCGAGGGAUUUCUCAGUGGGCUCAUGGAUUCAAGAAUGCCAUAAUAUUUUUAUUUAAUACUGGCGAGGAGGAAGGUCUAAAUGGUGCUCAUAGCUUUAUAACUCAGCACCCUUGGAGUAGAACUAUUUGUAUCGCUAUUGAUUUGGAAGCCAUGGGUGUUGGAGGGAAGUCUGGCAUUUUUCAGGCUGGUCCUCAUCCAUUUGCUAUUGAGAACUUUGCAUUGGCAGCAAAAUACCCAUCUGGUCAUAUUGUAGCACAGUUGUGAUUGUGCAGGAUCUUUUUUCAUCUGGAGUGAUUAAAUCUGCUACAGAUUUCCAAGUUUACAAAGAGGUUGCUGGUCUUUCAGGGCUUGACUUUGCUUACACAGAUAACAGUGGUGUAUAUCACACUAAGAAUGACAAAUUGGAGUUCCUCAAAUCUGGAUCUCUUCAGCAUCUUGGGGAGAAUAUGCUUGCUUUUUUACUUCAGAUAGCUCCAACAUCUCAUCUUCCAAAAGGCAAGGCAAUGAGAGAAGAGGAAAAAAGUGGCCAUGACAAUGCUGUAUUUUUUGACAUUUUGGGGACAUACAUGAUCGUAUACAAUCAACGUUUUGCAAGCAUUCUUCACAAUUCAGUGAUUAUGCAAUCACUUCUAAUAUGGGUGACGUCGUUGCUUAUGGGUGGUUAUCCAGCUGCUAUUUCUUUGGUCUUGUCAAGUCUGAGUGCCAUCCUAAUGUUGGUAUUUUCAAUAAGCUUCUCUGUUCUCGUGGCCUUCAUUCUUCCACAAAUAUCUUCAUCACCAGUGCCCUAUGUUGGAAACCCAUGGUUAGUAGUUGGGUUAUUUGCCGCACCUGCGCUCAUUGGGGCAUUGAUUGGCCAACAUUUUGGUUAUCUUGUUCUUCAAAUGUAUUUAUCAAAUGUAUACUCCAAGAAAAAGCAGCUGUCAUCUGUUGUCCAAGCUGAAUUGGUCAAGUUAGAGGCUGAAAGAUGGCUUUUUAAAGCUGGUUUUAUUCAGUGGCUUGUUCUUCUGAUCUUGGGACAUUAUUACAAAAUUGGUUCAUCUUACAUUUCACUCUUUUGGCUGGUUCCACCAGCAUUUGCAUAUGGCUUGCUUGAAGCAACUCUAACCCCAGCUCGGUUGCCAAGGCCCCUCAAACUUGCAACUCUUCUAACGGGUAUGGCUGUACCAAUUAUAAUUUCUGCGGGAACUUUUAUUCGCUUGGCUGCCACGUUAAUUGGAAUUGUGGUUCGAUUUGAUAGGAAUCCGGGUAGCACUCCAGAGUGGCUGGGGAAUAUAAUAAUUGCUGUUUUUGUUGCUGUUAUCAUAUGCUUCACUCUGAUUUACGUCCUUUCAUAUGUCCAUCUUUCAGGUGCAAAAAGAACAAUUAUCCUUGCAACUAGUGUCCUGGUUGGACUCUCACUCAUUUUAAUAUUAUCUGGUAUUGUUCCACCGUUUACUGAAGACAAUGGCAGAGCUGUCAAUGUUGUGCACGUUGUGGAUACAACAGGAAGCUAUGGUAAUAAGCAAGAUCCUACCUCGUAUAUAUCAUUAUUUUCCACAACACCUGGAAAGUUGACAAAGGAGGUUGAACAGAUUAAAGAAGGAUUCUCAUGUGGGAGAGACAAGGUUGUUGAUUUUGUUACUUUUUUUGUCAAAUAUGGUUGUCGGACCCAUGAGGACACUAAAGGUGGAUGGAGUGACACAGAUAUUCCUGCAUUGCAUGUUGAAAGUGAUACCAAAGGAGAUGAGAGAAUAACACGAGUUUCAAUUGAUACGAAAGUUUCUAUACGUUGGUCUCUUGCAAUCAAUACUGAAGAAGUAGAAGAUUUUAUUUUGACAGGGAAUUCAGAGGAAUUAAUUCCAUUUGGCAACAAGAGCAGCACAGACGGAUGGCAUAUAAUUCAGUUUUCCGGGGGAAAAGAAGCUCCUAGAAAGUUUGAGCUAACCCUUUUCUGGGUGAAGAAACCUAUGAAGUCUGCUCACAGUGUGGAUGAACAACAGACUGAGGACCAACAGCCCCUGUUAAAGCUAAGAACAGAUGUUGACCGAUUAACACCAAAAGCUGAAAGAGUUCUUAAGAAGCUCCCUGCAUGGUGUUCCCAGUUUGGGAAGUCCUCAUCUCCCUACACCCUAGCAUUUUUCAGCAGUCUUCCUGUUGAUUUUUAGAUAAUUGAAAUAUCCUCCAGAAAGUAUAAAGAGUACGAGGGAGCAUUAACUUAACAUGAACUGAUGUAUCUUCCUGUUUCUUGGAUCUUAUAAACAGAAUGUGUGGAGAUAAAGUAGGAAAAAACUCAAAAGGUGAGUAUUGUUUAUUCAGUACAGUGGUGAUUAGGAAGUUAAAGAGUAAGGCCUCUUUUGUUGACAAAACAUAAUAAAAAAAGGUCGAUUGAGUGGAA
Molecule: unclassified non-coding RNA, 3146 nt
Filed under: Hevea brasiliensis (rubber tree)
Lineage: Eukaryota; Viridiplantae; Streptophyta; Magnoliopsida; Malpighiales; Euphorbiaceae
Source: RNAcentral